This 757-nucleotide ribosomal RNA is filed under the name Bacillus pumilus. RNAcentral's name for it is "partial 16S ribosomal RNA". The record is from RNAcentral. Lineage: Bacteria; Bacillati; Bacillota; Bacilli; Caryophanales; Bacillaceae.
UCUGAGCCAAGGCUCCAGACUNGUAGCAGCAGUGAGCARUAKGGAAUAAUCCGCRYARGCCGAAAGUAGGCMKGAGSAGCGYNYNRWGARUGMCUUAGGUUUUGUGGAUUGUAAAGAUCUGUGAUGAGGGAAGAACAAGUGCGAGAGUAACUGAUCKCACGUUGACGGUACAUGACCAGAAAGCCACGUCUAUGUAAGUACCAGCAGCCGUGGUAAUACGUAGGUGGCAAGCGUUGUCCGGAAUUAUUGGGCGUAAAGGGCUGGCAGGCGGUUUSUUAAGUCUGAUGUGAAAGCCCCCGGCUCAACCGGGGAGGGUCAUUGGAAACUGGGAAACUUGAGUGCAGAAGAGGAGAGUGGAAUUCCACGUGUAGCGGUGAAAUGCGUAGAGAUGUGGAGGAACACCAGUGGCGAAGGCGACUCUCUGGUCUGUAACUGACGCUGAGGAGCGAAAGCGUGGGGAGCGAACAGGAUUAGAUACCCUGGUAGUCCACGCCGUAAACGAUGAGUGCUAAGUGUUAGGGGGUUUCCGCCCCUUAGUGCUGCAGCUAACGCAUUAAGCACUCCGCCUGGGGAGUACGGUCGCAAGACUGAAACUCAAAGGAAUUGACGGGGGCCCGCACAAGCGGUGGAGCAUGUGGUUUAAUUCGAAGCAACGCGAAGAACCUUACCAGGUCUUGACAUCCUCUGACAACCCUAGAGAUAGGGCUUUCCCUUCGGGGACAGAGUGACAGGUGGUGCAUGGUGUCGUCAGCUCGUU